UCCGCCAAUGCAGAUGGGACUAAGCUACUUUUUAAAGAAGAUAUUCUGCCAUCCCGAGGAGAUAUUUCUUUAUUUAGCAUUGGACCCUCUAUAGCAGUCAUAUCAGUUUUAUUAAGUUUUUUAGUUAUCCCUUUGGGAUAUCAUUUUGUUUUAGCCGAUCUUAGUAUUGGUGUUUUUUUAGGAUUGCCAUUUCAAGUAUAGCUCCUAUUGGUCUUCUUAUGGCAGGAUAUAGCUCAAAUAAUAAAUAUUCUUUUUCAGGCGGUCUACGAGCUGCUGCUCAAUCCAUUAGUUAUGAAAUACCAUUAA
RNAcentral lists this ribosomal RNA (306 nucleotides) under Triticum aestivum (bread wheat). Its description in RNAcentral is "partial small subunit ribosomal RNA". The record is from RNAcentral. Lineage: Eukaryota; Viridiplantae; Streptophyta; Magnoliopsida; Poales; Poaceae.